Molecule: ribosomal RNA, 431 nt
Filed under: uncultured bacterium
Lineage: Bacteria
Description: partial 16S ribosomal RNA
Rfam family: Bacterial small subunit ribosomal RNA
Source: RNAcentral
AACGAACGCUGGCGGCAGGCUUAACACAUGCAAGUCGAACGCCCCGCAAGGGGAGUGGCAGCCGGGUGAGUAACGCGUGGGAACAUACCCUUUUCUUCGGAAUAGCUCUGGGAAACUGGAAUUAAUACCGUAUACGCCCUACGGGGGAAAGAUUUAUCGGGGAAGGAUUGGCCCGCGUUGGAUUAGCUAGUUGGUGGGGUAAAGGCCUACCAAGGCGACGAUCCAUAGCUGGUCUGAGAGGAUGAUCAGCCACAUUGGGACUGAGACACGGCCCAAACUCCUACGGGAGGCAGCAGUGGGGAAUAUUGGACAAUGGGCGCAAGCCUGAUCCAGCCAUGCCGCGUGAGUGAUGAAGGCCUUAGGGUUGUAAAGCUCUUUCACCGAUGAAGAUAAUGACGGUAGUCGGAGAAGAAGCCCCGGCUAACUUCGUG